This 584-nucleotide ribosomal RNA is filed under the name uncultured bacterium. RNAcentral describes it as "partial 16S ribosomal RNA". It matches the Rfam family "Bacterial small subunit ribosomal RNA", at positions 355 to 1375 of the family's 1533-position model. The record is from RNAcentral.
UGGGGAAUUUUGGACAAUGGGCGAAAGCCUGAUCCAGCAAUGCCGCGUGUGUGAAGAAGGCCUUCGGGUUGUAAAGCGCUUUUGUCCGGAAAGAAAUCCUUGGCUCUAAUACAGUCGGGGGAUGACGGUACCGGAAGAAUAAGCACCGGCUAACUACGUGCCAGCAGCCGCGGUAAUACGUAGGGUGCAAGCGUUAAUCGGAAUUACUGGGCGUAAAGCGUGCGCAGGCGGUUUGCUAAGACCGAUGUGAAAUCCCCGGGCUCAACCUGGGAACUGCAUUGGUGACUGGCAGGCUAGAGUAUGGCAGAGGGGGGUAGAAUUCCACGUGUAGCAGUGAAAUGCGUAGAGAUGUGGAGGAAUACCGAUGGCGAAGGCAGCCCCCUGGGCCAAUACUGACGCUCAUGCACGAAAGCGUGGGGAGCAAACAGGAUUAGAUACCCUGGUAGUCCACGCCCUAAACGAUGUCAACUAGUUGUUGGGGAUUCAUUUCCUUAGUAACGUAGCAACGCGUGAAGUUGACCGCCUGGGGAGUACGGUCGCAAGAUUAAAACUCAAAUGAAUUGACGGGGUCAUAGCUGUUUCCU